Molecule: ribosomal RNA, 508 nt
Filed under: uncultured bacterium
Lineage: Bacteria
Description: partial 16S ribosomal RNA
Rfam family: Bacterial small subunit ribosomal RNA
Source: RNAcentral
AUUGAACGCUGGCGGCAGGCCUAACACAUGCAAGUCGAGCGGCAGCGGGAAAGUAGCUUGCUACUUUUGCCGGCGAGCGGCGGACGGGUGAGUAAUGCCUGGGAAAUUGCCCAGUCGAGGGGGAUAACAGUUGGAAACGGCUGCUAAUACCGCAUACGCCCUACGGGGGAAAGCAGGGGACCUUCGGGCCUUGCGCGAUUGGAUAUGCCCAGGUGGGAUUAGCUAGUUGGUGAGGUAAUGGCUCACCAAGGCGACGAUCCCUAGCUGGUCUGGGAGGAGGAUCAGCCACACUGGAACUGAGACACGGUCCAGACUCCUACGGGAGGCAGCAGUGGGGAAUAUUGCACAAUGGGGGAAACCCUGAUGCAGCCAUGCCGCGUGUGUGAAGAAGGCCUUCGGGUUGUAAAGCACUUUCAGCGAGGAGGAAAGGUUGAUGCCUAAUACGUAUCAACUGUGACGUUACUCGCAGAAGAAGCACCGGCUAACUCCGUGCCAGCAGCCGCCGUAA